RNAcentral lists this small nucleolar RNA (81 nucleotides) under Erythranthe guttata (spotted monkey flower). Its description in RNAcentral is "Mimulus guttatus (spotted monkey flower) Small nucleolar RNA snoR14". It matches the Rfam family "Small nucleolar RNA snoR14". The record is from Rfam by way of RNAcentral. Lineage: Eukaryota; Viridiplantae; Streptophyta; Magnoliopsida; Lamiales; Phrymaceae.
GCGAAGUGACGAUUAAUUCAAGUCUGUCAAUCCACUGAUUUAUUGUGAAGACAAAAUUGAAUCCCGACAGGUUCUGAUCGC